AGGUUCACGGUACAGAAGAAGGGUCACACUGCCACCAGGGUCAUAAAACUACCCCUGGAAAUGCCUCAAAUGCACGAAACCCUUGGCAUAUGUGCGUUUCUUAGGUUCACGGUACAGAAGAAGGGUCACACUACCACCAGGGUCAUACAACUACCCCUGGAAAUGCCCACAACUCCCAUGAAAGCCCUGUCAGAUGUGCAUUUCUUAGGUUCACAGUACAGAAGGAGGGUCUCACCAUCACCAGGGUCAUAAAACUACCCCCAGAAAUGCCCUAAACCCUUGUCAAAUGUGUGUUUCUUAGGUUCAUGGUACAGAGGAAGGGUCACACUACCACCAGGGUCACAAAACUACCCCUGGAAAUGCCCUAAACCCUUGUCAAAUGUGUGUUUCUUAGGUUCACGGUACAGAAGAAGGGUCACACUACCACCAGGGUUACAAAACUACCCCUGGAAAUGCUCACAACGCCCACGAAAGCCCUGUCAAAUGUGCGUUUCUUAGGGUCAUGGUACAGAAGAAGGGUCACACUACCACCAGGGUCAUAAAACUACCUCUGGAAAUGCCCACAGCUCCUACGAAAGCCUUGUCAAAUGCAUGAACCUGGGCAGUGAAGUGUUUAAUAAAAUGUCUGAGGGUCCCACCACCUAUACAGUUAUUAUUAUUAUUAUUAUUAUUAUUAUUGUAGUUAUUUCUUUCCCUAUUCAGUGCAGUAUUAGUUGGUCUAGUUUCUCAGUGGCUAUUAUUAUUAUUAUUAUUAUUAUUAUUAUUAUUAUUAUUAUUAUUUUCUUAUAGGGAAGUGUGGUAAUAGAGUGUGUGUGUCUGAAUUGCUGUGUGCAUCCAUGUAUGUUCUACACACACACACACACACUCUCUCUCUCUCUCUCUCUCUCUCUCUCUCUCUCUCUCUCUACAUGUGUUUCUUUGUUUGUGUGUUCCUAUGUUUGUUACUCAUGUGCGUUUAUGUGUGCGUGUGUGUUUCUUGCUUGUGUGCGUUUUUUUGGCGUACAUGACUCGUGUGCACCUCCAAGUCUUGUGUUCUGUCUAUUUAUAUAAGUGUGUGUGUGUGUGUGUGUGCGCGAAUUUGUCCCUUUCAUGUGCGUAUUCUGUGCCUUGGUGUACAUAGCCACUUGUCUUGUGUGCGUGUGUGUGUGUGCGUUUUUGCAAUGUAUACUUUGGUUUCUUUUAUGUAUUAUUUUCUUCCUUUUUUGGGCCUAUGUAUCAUGUAUUGCAGCCUAUGUAUAUUUAUGUAUACUUAUAUGUGUCCAUGUAUACCUCUGUGUUGUCCUAUGUAUACUUUUAUGUGGUCAUGUGUAUUUUCUCUCCCCUUUCUCUCUAUCAUGUAUAUUUCUAUCUAUCUAUCUAUCAAUGUAUACUGUUUUAUUUUGUAUGUAUAUCAAACUAUGCAUUGUUUUAUGAAUAUUUGUGAUAGAAUGUGUGUGUGUGUGUGUGUGUGUAUGCUUUGCUAGAUAAAGACAUGUAUAAUACGAGUGUUUGUGAUAGGGUGGUAUGUAUAUAUGUACCACUAGACAUUCAUUACUCGACCCCUAUUUAUGCAUACGAGUUAGUGGGUCAUACAUCUUCUGUACUUUAUAUUUUGUCCAGUUGUAGAAAAAUCAUUAUUGCUCAUUUAAAGUAAUUACCAACAGGAUUUGUAUAUGCUUCAACUUCAGGAGGCAUUUAACUAUAGAUGGUUCUUUAUAUAAUGUUCCAGUUUUAGAUUGUGGUAGUUUAACCCGGUAGCUGUGGGGAUCAUGUUUCUUAAUGGUCCCUCUAAGCGAGAAAAAUGAGAAAAAAAUCAUCACUCAUGCAAACCAUUUCAUAAUACAUAUCAACGCAUUUGUGAUCAGUUUAUGUAUCAUCUAUUUUGGGGGUUUAUAUCAUGGCAAAAAUUUGGCCCGUCGCUGGUACACAGUAAAGCCACAAAUUUGCCCCGUCACUGGUACAUGGUAAAGCCACAAAUUUGCCCCGUCUCUGGUACAUGGUAAAGGUACAAAUUUGGCCCGUCUCUGGUACACGGUAAAGGUACAAAUUUGGCCCAUCUCUGGUACACGGUAAAGGUACAAAUUUGGCCCGUCUCUGGUACACGGUAAAGGUACAAAUUUGGCCCGUCUCUGGUACACGGUAAAGGUACAAAUUUGGCCCGUCUCUGGUACACGGUAAAGGUACAAAUUUGCCCCGUCUCUGGUACAUGGUAAAGGUACAAAUUUGGCCCGUCUCUGGUACAUGGUAAAGGUACAAAUUUGGCCCGUCUCUGGUACAUGGUAAAGGUACAAAUCUGGCCUGUCACUGCUACCAGGUUAAAACAUGAUUCAUAGCUGCCUCAACUCAAGAGAAAGAUGGCAUUCAAGUCUAGUUAGUGUUUGAGUUGUAUACAUUUGUAGAAACUAUAAAUAUCUAAACUGUUGUCUGACUGUAGUUCUUGAGUGAAACUGAAUAAUUAUUUGCUCAUUUAUAUUAAUUUAAAACCGUGCUGAUAAACUUGUCAACUUCACCAAAUACGUGGCAUUUAAUGACAGAGGCAUUUUGGCACUCACCAUCAGCCUGGGUGCCACACUCGUAGGUUUAUGGUGUAUAUUUUCAAGCAGUGUAUAUAUAAUUUUACAACCAGAUAUAAAAGGUAAAUGAACAGGUUUUUGGCACAUACCGAAGCUCAGUGCCACAGUGAAGUGUUGAAAUCUUUUUACAAGUAUAUAAUCUUAAAAGAAAAGAUAACAAUAAGUUUUUUACAAACAAAUAGCGAGAAAAGUACAAGCCAGCAAAGCUUGUGGAGGCAAGGCGGGACUUGUUCCUUGGAGCCAGGCAGCCAAGCCGCUCAGGCAAACAAAAAAAGGAAAACAACAUAAAAGUGCCAUACUACAAGGUUUAGAAUGAAGGUGUUAAUUGUAAACCAUGGUGCCAUAACAUAACAGGAAAACAUAGAAAAAUAGCCAUAACUAAAAAGUUAUACACAAAAAAGAUGUAGUAUACAUGUUCCAACACAUGCAAUACAUCAACAACAACAACAACAACAACAGGCCGUGUGUGUAUGCUGCAAAAAUAAAUGAGAAAAAAAAGAACAAUCCCGGAACAUACCAAGAGGUUUUUUUUAUUGGCAAGACAUCCAUUGCAAUAACAAAUAAAACUCUGAAUACAAUGUUUUACCUUGUAUUAAUUAUUCCCUUGACUGUGUGUGUGUGUGUGUGUAGGAUGCUGGAGAUGGUCUAAAUGUGUGUGGAGGAGAGGAGGGAUGCUGGAGAUGGUUUGGACACAUGUGGAGAUUAUAUAAAAAGAUGCUGGGUAUAUCAGAGGGAU
Molecule: long non-coding RNA, 3288 nt
Organism: Eriocheir sinensis (Chinese mitten crab)
Lineage: Eukaryota; Metazoa; Arthropoda; Malacostraca; Decapoda; Varunidae
Exons: 4
Source: RefSeq, a predicted model, not a curated record